CAGUAGCCACGGGAAUACGGAGGGUGCAAGCGUUAAUCGGAAUUACUGGGCGUAAAGCGCACGCAGGCGGUCUGACAAGUCAGAUGUGAAAUCCCCGGGCUUAACCUGGGAACUGCAUUUGAAACUGUUAGGCUGGAGUCUUGUAGAGGGGGGUGGAAUUCCAGGUGUAGCGGUGAAAUGCGUAGAGAUCUGGAGGAAUACCGGUGGCGAAGGCGGCCCCCUGGACAAAGACUGACGCUCAGGUGCGAAAGCGUGGGGAGCAAACAGGAUUAGAUACCCCUGUAGUCCCUGUCUCUUAUAC
This 301-nucleotide ribosomal RNA is filed under the name uncultured bacterium. Its description in RNAcentral is "partial 16S ribosomal RNA". It matches the Rfam family "Bacterial small subunit ribosomal RNA", at positions 509 to 807 of the family's 1533-position model. The record is from RNAcentral.